GGGGUUGUGGCUCAGAGGUAGAGCACUUGCCUAGCAUGCAUGAUGCACUGAGUUUAAUCCUUGGCACCA
RNAcentral lists this transfer RNA (69 nucleotides) under Ictidomys tridecemlineatus (thirteen-lined ground squirrel). Its description in RNAcentral is "Spermophilus tridecemlineatus (thirteen-lined ground squirrel) tRNA". It matches the Rfam family "tRNA". From Rfam's summary of the family: Transfer RNA (tRNA) molecules are approximately 80 nucleotides in length. Lineage: Eukaryota; Metazoa; Chordata; Mammalia; Rodentia; Sciuridae. The record is from Rfam by way of RNAcentral.